GUCGCCGCGCUGGGCGGCGCCCAGCGCGCCCCGCAAGAGCGGCACGGCGACCCGGCGGUAGCAGCGGACGAUCGUCUCCUCGGCGGCGGCG
Molecule: transfer RNA, 91 nt
Filed under: Pirellulimonas nuda
Lineage: Bacteria; Pseudomonadati; Planctomycetota; Planctomycetia; Pirellulales; Lacipirellulaceae
Description: Planctomycetes bacterium Pla175 tRNA-Ala
Source: RNAcentral